RNAcentral lists this ribosomal RNA (370 nucleotides) under uncultured organism. Its description in RNAcentral is "bacterial SSU rRNA". It matches the Rfam family "Bacterial small subunit ribosomal RNA", at positions 526 to 897 of the family's 1533-position model. The record is from RNAcentral.
CGGAGGGUGCAAGCGUUAUCCGGAUUUACUGGGUUUAAAGGGUGUGUAGGCGGGCUUUUAAGUCAGUGGUGAAAUCUCCGGGCUCAACCUGGAAACUGCCAUUGAUACUAUUAGUCUUGAAUUUUGUUGAGGUAGGCGGAAUAAGUCAUGUAGCGGUGAAAUGCAUAGAUAUGACUUAGAACACCAAUUGCGAAGGCGGCUUGCUAAACAAAUAUUGACGCUGAGGCACGAAAGCGUGGGGAUCAAACAGGAUUAGAUACCCUGGUAGUCCACGCCCUAAACGAUGAUUACUCGACAUACGCGAUACACAGUGUGUGUCUGAGCGAAAGCAUUAAGUAAUCCACCUGGGAAGUACGACCGACAAGGUUGA